This 307-nucleotide long non-coding RNA is filed under the name Homo sapiens (human). Its description in RNAcentral is "HSALNT0406951". Lineage: Eukaryota; Metazoa; Chordata; Mammalia; Primates; Hominidae. The record is from RNAcentral.
CGCGAUCUCAGCUGACUGCAACCUCCUCCUCCCAGGUUGCCUAUAAUGCUUUACAAUUAUGAAGGAUAAUGCUACCAGGAAUAUCUUCAUCUGUGUGGCUUUUUCAUGGUCUGAAGCAUUCCUUCAAGAUCCAUGCUCUGAUAUUGUGAGACUGCCAGGAGCUUUGAUACACUGCACCAAACUGUUUGACCAGAGUUGAAGCAUUUAAUAAGGAUCCCGACAACAAACAAAACAGCCAGCUAGCACACUAAGGCCAGGAGCCUAUUUUGCUCAUCCUGUAUUUAAAUAUAAUAUAUUGUACUUCUGA